CUACGGGUGGCUGCAGGCGAGAAAACUUUGCAAUGUGCGAAAGCACGACAAGGUUAAUCCGAGUGGUUUCUGCUAGAGGAACCUUUUGACAGUCCUAGAAACACUGUUGAAUAAGGGGUGGGCAAGUUCUGGUGUCAGCCGCCGCGGUAAAACCAGCACCUCAAGUGGUAAGGAUGAUUAUUGGGCCUAAAGCAUCCGUAGCCGGCUCUGUAAGUUUUCGGUUAAAUCUGUACGCUCAACGUACAGGCUGCCGGGAAUACUGCAGAGCUAGGGAGUGGGAGAGGUAGACGGUACUCGGUAGGAAGGGGUAAAAUCCUUUGAUCUAUUGAUGACCACCUGUGGCGAAGGCGGUCUACCAGAACACGUCCGACGGUGAGGGAUGAAAGCUGGGGGAGCAAACCGGAUUAGAUACCCUCGUAGUC
RNAcentral lists this ribosomal RNA (422 nucleotides) under uncultured archaeon. RNAcentral describes it as "partial 16S ribosomal RNA". It matches the Rfam family "Archaeal small subunit ribosomal RNA", at positions 323 to 746 of the family's 1478-position model. The record is from RNAcentral.